UCUCAAGGAAGUGUUCUUAACCAAUGAGA
This 29-nucleotide non-coding RNA is filed under the name Rattus norvegicus (Norway rat). The record is from RNAcentral. Lineage: Eukaryota; Metazoa; Chordata; Mammalia; Rodentia; Muridae.